This 2403-nucleotide long non-coding RNA is filed under the name Homo sapiens (human). RNAcentral describes it as "novel transcript". The record is from RNAcentral. Lineage: Eukaryota; Metazoa; Chordata; Mammalia; Primates; Hominidae.
UCAACUUUUUCUUCUAAUGUCAUGACUUUUUUCUGCUUCUUGGGAGCACCUCCAGAAUCACUAGUGGCACUUCGUAGGAGUCUCAUUAUGCAGAGCUUAAGGUACUGCACUACACAUGAUGAAAAAUAUGUGAGAACCUCAAGAGAUUACUUUUUACUUCUAUGUGCAAUUUCCUGGAGAGACAACUGCUCACGCGGAGAUGAUGAACAUCACUUGGUGUUUUAAGCAGUACUCGCAGCUCUUGAGCUUCACCACAAUAGCAACAGGAGGUGACUACAAAAUUGUUACAGUAGUACAAUAUCCACUACAGUUGAUUUAUGUUGAUUUACAUUGCUCAUCUAUAAAUGGUGCCACGUAUGGUCUGUAUGUGUAUGUAAGUUUUGGUAAAUUUUAACUUUUUAUAAUAGAUUUGUGUAUAUUUUAUGGUAGUAAAUGAUAAAAAUAGACUAGUUUCCACAUAUAUUUUAUACAUUCACAACAUACCUAACUUUUUCUUAAUUCUUUUGAUAUUUCUAGGCUAUGUGGUUCAUCUGAGCUUUUUCAAAUUUUCACACAUCUCCAAAAAAUUUUGCAACACAUUUAUUGAAAAGAAUCCAAAUAUAUGUGGACCCAUGAAGUUCAAAGUCAUGUUGUUCAAGGGUCAACUGUGUUUUAAUUUUUACUAAGUCAGUGUGGCUUUUCAGAAUUUUCACCAUGAUGUUUUAUAACUUAGCAUUUCUUUUGGUCGUCCCAGUAACUUUUGCUCCCAUUUUCUACAAGUAUUUCUUUUUUAAAAAGGCAAAAUGACAUUCAGUUUCUUAAUGUCUCACCAUGUACCUUCAUAACAUUUGAAGAGCAGCUUAUCUGAUGAGUGCUGAGAGGGCAAAGGCAGUGGGCACUGAUUUCCCAUGAAGUUCAUCUCUUGUUGGUACUGCCAGUUCCCACAAUCCUAGCAUUCUCUGGGCAUCAGUCAGUGUCUACAAAAAAGGAUUUUCAAAUAUUAAAGCAUGUGAAAAGACAAACAGGCCAAAACUCAGAGCUCUCUAGGGACUAUGACCUCCAAAACAGACUCCAUUCUGACAUUUUCACAGGCUACUUGAAGGAAUUCCAGCAGGGUUGUUCCAUUUGGUAAACUCCUAAACAAACCCUCUGUCAUCGAGGACUGAUUUAUAGAAUUUUCUCCUUAUGUGCUUGUUCUGAAGAGAUUAAGAUAGUAGAUAUGGUUGCUGAGACUCUUUUAAAAGUCAUUUGAUAUAUAUGAUAAGUACUAUACAGAAGAUUUUUGGUAUUUUGAAGUAAUAAAACAGUUAUUUGUAAUGUUUAAAGAGAUUUUGUGUUCUGAGUUGUCUUCUAAGUUCUUUUUCUUUUUGAUUCCAGGAAAUCUAUGUCAUAAUCACAUCUCUAAAUUAAGUUUUUUUCAUUAUAAACCCAAUCAUUUAACAAAGAAAUUGAAUAAAUUCAGAAAUUAUCUUUGUAUAAACAAGUAUGUUAAAAACAUGUUUAUGCAUAUAUAUAAAUAUAUACAUAUGAUAUACAUAUAUCAUAUGUUUUACAAUGACCUUUAGAAUAUGUGAAACAGAAACAGUUCGGUUGUUAUAGAAUAUUCUUCUAUGAAAUCUUGGUGUAAUGGCAGCUGUUUAGAUGAUGCUGUAAGGUCACUAGAGGGGGUGGAUCUAUAAGUUGUUUUUCAAUUAAUCUGGAUCCUCUUAAAAUAUUUUAUUGUGUAUUUUUAUGCAUUUCUUUUUUUAAAAAGAAGAAUAUAAUGCUAAAAAUAAAGGAGAAGGGCAGAACCCAAGAGAUUUGGAGCCUGGAGAACUUAAGGAAAUGGGUAGUUGGGAUUUAUUUGGCUUGUAGUUGUCCUUAACUGCUAACAGCCUCAUGGUGGUCUCAUCUGAAGUCUGUGAGUGGCAUGUAUGAAAUUCCAGGGUGAACGGCAUUCCACAUUGGGAGGACCAGGUUUGUUGGGGAAUUUUUGUAUGGUUUGUUUCCUUCUUCGUGUGUUUCUUUUUAAUCCUUUAAAUGAAUUCUUUAACUGAAUUAACAGAGUUUUAACUGCUAAAUAAAAGUCCUAUACAAUCAAAAAUUUCUUAAGAUUUGAUAUCUGAUUCUGUUGUAGGAAUGUAAUAUAUUUUGGGAAUGAGUUUAAAAAUGGGACACAGGCAAGUAAAUUGAUUUAUGAUGCUUUCAACCAAGCUUCACAAAAUUAGUACUAAAAAUAAAAUUCAUGUUAUCAUAUUCUAAUAACCUGUCAUAAACCUAGCAUAUUUUAGGUCUCCUUAGUGGAAAAAAAAGAAAGGAAAUGAAAGUGAAAUAAUAAAUUGCUUAAUUGGUCAAAAUUAGUUAUUGAGUUCUUGGCUGUACUAGAGAAUUGUGUGGCUCUUAAUUGAUGUUUAAAAUAUAAAUAAAAUGUGUAUGCUGAAAAAG